CCUACGGGAGGCAGCAGUGGGGGAUAUUGCACAAUGGGGGGAACUCUGAUGCAGCGACGUCGCGUGGGUGAAGAAGCGCCUCGGCGCGUAAAGCUCUGUCAGCAGGGAAGAAAAUGACGGUACCUGAAGAAGAAGCUCCGUCUAACUACGUGCCAGCAGCCGCGGUAAUACGUAGGGGGCAAGCGUUAUCCGGAUUUACUGGGUGUAAUGGGGGCGCAGACGGCGAUGCAAGCCAGGAGUGAAAGGCCGGGGCUCAACCCCGGGACUGCUCUUGGAACUGCGUGGCUGGAGUGCAGGAGGGGCAGGCGGAAUUCAUGGUGUAGCGGUGAAAUGCGUAGAGAUCAGAAAGAACACCGAUUGCGAAGGCGGCCUACUGGACUACAACUGACGUUGAGGCCCGAAAGCGUGGGGAGCAAACAGGAUUAGAUACCCCAGUAGUC
This 440-nucleotide ribosomal RNA is filed under the name uncultured bacterium. RNAcentral's name for it is "partial 16S ribosomal RNA". It matches the Rfam family "Bacterial small subunit ribosomal RNA", at positions 338 to 795 of the family's 1533-position model. The record is from RNAcentral.